ACCUCAUGUGAACUUACCUUUGUUGCUUCGGCGGCGGAGGCUACCCUGCGGGAGAAUACCACUUAGUGGUUACCCCUGUAGUUUCAGGUACAUCAGCUACCCGGUAGUCAUCCCCGCCGGCGGCCAACUAAACUCUGUUUUCUUUGGAAUUCUGAAUAACAAACUUAAUAAGUUAAAACUUUCAACAACGGAUCUCUUGGUUCUGGCAUCGAUGAAGAACGCAGCGAAAUGCGAUAAGUAAUGUGAAUUGCAGAAUUCAGUGAAUCAUCGAAUCUUUGAACGCACAUUGCGCCCAUUAGCAUUCUAGUGGGCAUGCCUGUUCGAGCGUCAUUUUCACCACUUAAAGCCUUGUUUGCUUAGCGUUGGGAGCCUACGGCACGGCCCGUAGCUCCUUAAAGUGAUUGGCGGAGUUGGUUCUCACUCUAAGCGUAGUAAUUAUAUCUCGCGUUCUGUAGUGGUCCCGGCCCUGCCGUAGAAACCCUUAUACAAAGGUUGACCUCGGAUCAGGUACGGAAUACCGGUGAACUUUAAGC
Molecule: ribosomal RNA, 533 nt
Filed under: Muscodor sp. UFMGCB 4666
Lineage: Eukaryota; Fungi; Ascomycota; Sordariomycetes; Xylariales
Description: eukaryotic LSU rRNA
Rfam family: 5.8S ribosomal RNA (bases 177-330)
Source: RNAcentral